Molecule: long non-coding RNA, 28930 nt
Filed under: Ananas comosus (pineapple)
Lineage: Eukaryota; Viridiplantae; Streptophyta; Magnoliopsida; Poales; Bromeliaceae
Description: long non-coding RNA (ACOM_LNC032376)
Source: RNAcentral
GAACAUCUUGGUGGGGUCUCGUUAAAAGAAUCUGAGUCUGAUGAUCCUUCGCAAGUCUCUGUCUCCAAGAGUGAAACCCCAGGGGAGCUAGAUGAUGAGAUUGAUGUUGUCAAUACUGAUUCUGCACAAAAUGGAAAGGGUAACGAUUUGCUUGAAGGCCAACGGCAGUACCAUUCCACUGUUCAUGCUAUUCAGGAGAAGGUAUAAAAAGAUGUUUCCAAGAGGCUAUUCUAUAUCUCUUCUUUUUUUAUAACCAACAGACAAGGUAGAUUGGAAAUAGUUUUGAUGGUAUUUAACUAUUGAGUUGUUGUAGAACUACCAUUUUAACUAACAAAGCAUAUGUGAAAUUCAGCUUUUUAAGUCAAUUUUUCUUGCUGCUGAAAAAUAUUUCUUUUCCUGCAAGGUAGAGUAUAAGAAUGCACAUAACAGAUGGAUGAUCUUAGUUUUAAUAGUUCCAGUUUGCGCACUUUUGUGGCACUAGCUGAGGGUUACAAUAGGGAACUUUUACUCCUGGUCGUUUUCCAGAAGGCAUUAUCUAUAUAGCAUUAUAUAGAAGGAAAACCUGCAACUAUGAGAAUCCUGUUUAUUCAGUCCAUUGGAUACUCCACUUAUCAUGGGUAUACUUUGUUAGUUUUUUUCAGUUUCCUUGUACGAAUAAUUUAUGCCAUACAUAUGUUGUUUUCCCCUACUUUUAUUUAAGUGAAAGCCCCUAGCCUUGAAUUGUGCGCAAACUUUCUUUGUAUGCGUUUGCUCUAUACCAUAUUGCUAAUAUUUGAACUUCAUUUAAAACACAGAAUUAUACAUUUCUCCCUCUUUUGUUCCCUUAAACUCUUAAUAAGCUUUGGUCACUCAAUUAUUAUUGAUUGUGAAAUUUGCAUCAGAUUCUACUGAUGAAAAGUAGAUUACUGUCCAGCUUUGGGUCACCUAUUAAAUGCCUUGCUAUUCCGCACGGACAUAUCAAAGAAAAGAACGAUUUCUUUUCUUUUAGUGGUUUUCUUUUUCCAUUAUUGGAAUAUUGUUGUGCUACGAAUUAUCUUCUAGAGAUCCUUUGUCACAAACUGAGCCGCUGGUUCGAAAUUUGAAGGAUCUUCUUUAAUCCUUUUAUACCUUUAGUUUAUUUGGCACUCAUUUUCCCUCCCCUAUCAUUUUCCCUAUCCUAUCAUACUGGCGUACAACCACUAUGAUCAUAACUUAAUCUACUGAAUAGACAGUUUAAUGCUUUUCUUUUUUUGUUUUUUUAACUAUUUUUGCAGGUGACAGAGCAGCCUACUAUGCUUCAGGGUGGAGAGUUAAGGCCUUACCAGUUAGAAGGACUUCAAUGGAUGCUUUCCCUGUUCAACAACAAUCUAAAUGGCAUUCUUGCUGAUGAAAUGGGUCUCGGAAAGACAAUUCAAACCAUAGCUUUGAUUGCUUACUUGAUGGAACACAAGGGUGUCACUGGACCGCACCUGAUAAUUGCUCCAAAAGCAGUAUUACCAAAUUGGUUUAGUGAAUUUUCAACUUGGGCACCAAGGUUUUUCUUUCAAUCUAUGAAGCAUAAUAUGUUUACUAUCUUUUCAUCUUUUAAAUAAGGAACGUCCUGAUUUGCUUUCAUUGUGCAGUAUUACUACACUAUUAUAUGAUGGGCGCCCAGAAGAGAGGAAGGGAAUAAGAGAAGAGUAUUUCGGAGAAGGGAAAUAUAAUGUUUUGCUCACACACUAUGAUCUGAUAAUGAAAGAUAAAAAGUUCCUGAAGAAAAUUCACUGGCAUUAUAUGAUUGUGGACGAAGGGCAUCGGCUUAAAAACCAUGAAUGUGCUCUUUCACGCACGAUAGUUACAGGGUAUGUUAUUGUUCGCUUAUUCAUUUUUUCUUGUGUAGAUAAACUUUGGUUAAAAAAUUCAGUUUUUCUUCUAUUUUUUGCUAAAUAUUUCUUACUUCUGUUUUCCUUUGACUUCUAUUUAAAACUCAAAACUCGAAAGUGGUAUAAAUUUAGAGUAGAAACCAUAUUAAUCUGCCUGCUUGAUGACAAAAACGAAGCUUUUGAUUAGAUAUAAGAAUGUAUGUAGUAAGGCACCAUACCCCUAUUUUAUGAAUAUAAGACGUAAUUUGUCAGUUUAUGUUUAGAAUAUGGUGCCCUCCACUGUCUUUUAGCAACUAAAAUUUUGCUUGACCGUUGGUAGCUAUUUGACACUUCAAACUAUUUAAUUGUGCUAAUCCUCUUCGAAACGUCACUACUAGCCUUGUUUUUGUGUGUUCUUUCAGCUUGCAUGCAGCAUCUGUUUUGGCAUUUCCUUUUAUUUAUUUUUUUCUUUUUAACCUAUGAAUAUCUGUUCAUAUAAUCUUAAUCCAUUCUUUUAAUUGAAUGGCUUGUAAGAACUCUCUCCAUUAUCGUUCUCAAUAGUUUGGCUCCUAGUUUGGUUAAUCUUGUUUUAAUCAUUGUUGAUAAUAUUCAAUUAUUUAAUAAAUGUGUUUUAUUUUUUAUAUUUUCUAAAUAUUAAAUCGUAAUUUUGUUUUCUUGCAGCUAUCGUAUUCGUCGUAGACUUCUGUUGACCGGCACCCCAAUACAGAAUAGCUUGCAGGAGCUUUGGUCAUUGCUCAAUUUUCUUCUUCCCCACAUCUUCAAUUCCGUACAAAAUUUUGAGGAAUGGUUUAAUGCACCAUUUGCAUGCGAUGUAUCUCUCAAUGAUGAGGAAGAGCUACUGAUUAUUCGCCGUUUGCAUCAAGUGAGAUUACUAAUACUUUCUUCUUUUUUUAACUUUUUCUUUUGGGUGCUUUUGCAAGCCUCUCUUUGUGUCCUUUUUGUGAUAAUUACAAUCUGUUUAACUCAGGUUAUACGGCCCUUUCUUCUGAGAAGGAAAAAGGAUGAAGUUGAAAAGUAUCUUCCUGGGAAAACACAAGUAAUACUUAAAUGCGACAUGUCUGCUUGGCAAAAAGCAUAUUACCAGCAGGUCACUGACUUGGGGAGGGUUGGACUAGAAUCUGGUAAGUUAGACCUGCUUAACUAUUCUGCCCGAUUUGGAUGACUUUCUCAAAGAUUAAGUUCAGUUUGUACAUUAUGCUGGCAUUUAUUUUGAAUUUGUUUGUAGUCUAAAUAUUCAGUGGCAUGUUUACUUAUCGUAACACAUGUACUCUUGUAAAUUAUCUAUUUGCACUGUAUCUCCAUGAAAUCUGAAUUUUCACACAUAGUUUGUUAUAUAUACCUCUUUUACUUACAAAAAUGCCCCUCUUAAAAAGAUCUUUUGGAUGUGAAUGUAUAAUUCCCCAACUUACGGGUUGUUUUGUAAGAAACUGCACUUUGGGGGGCUAUUUAUGAAAAUUCAGAUUCUUCAGGGGUUUGUAAUUUACCUAGAAGUUUUUGCUGCUAUAUAUAUAUAUAUAUAUAUGCAAAAAUCUCAUAUUCGUUUCAUGCUGAGGGCCACAUUUGACUCUUCGCAGGCAUAAAAUCAAAAUCUCUCCAGAAUUUGUCAAUGCAGCUCAGGAAGUGUUGCAAUCAUCCCUACCUAUUUGUAGGAGAAUAUAACAUGUGGCAGAAGGAACAAAUUGUUAGAGCUUCAGGGAAGUUCGAAUUGUUGGAUCGUUUACUUCCAAAGCUCCAAAGAACCGGUCACAGAAUUCUACUUUUCUCCCAAAUGACACGUCUUAUUGAUAUCUUAGAAAUCUACUUACAACUAUAUGAUUUUAAGUACCUUCGACUUGAUGGGUCGACGAAGACCGAAGAGCGAGGGGCAUUGCUUAGACAGUUCAAUGCGCCAGACUCUCCCUAUUUUAUGUUUCUAUUGAGCACACGAGCUGGUGGUCUCGGAUUGAACUUGCAGACUGCAGAUACUGUUAUUAUCUUUGAUAGUGACUGGAACCCUCAAAUGGACCAACAGGCGGAAGAUCGAGCCCAUCGAAUUGGGCAGAAGAAGGAAGUUAGGGUUUUCGUGUUGGUUAGUGUUGGCUCGAUCGAAGAGGAGAUAUUGGAUCGUGCGAAACAGAAGAUGGGUAUUGAUGCAAAGGUCAUCCAGGCUGGGCUGUUUAACACUACCUCCACAGGUUGGUGUUCUUAUUAAGGCAGACUGAAUUGCAUCUACAGGCUUUUUCAUUAUUUAUAUUGUUGAUCGGUUUCAAAUUCUCGGUGUAGAGAAACAAAGAAGUUGAGAAAAGCAAAUAAAAUCCAUAUUUUUAGAGUUUGCAAACAAUCUGCCAACACUUCCAAAAGGAAAAGAGCAAAUUCGCAAAAUUUUAACCUUGAAUUAUCUUAAUUAAUGAAAAGGGGAGAAAUAAAUUAUAUAAAUCAGUGAUCUGAAGUGUUCGUUCUUGUUUCUCUUUGCAGCACAGGACAGGCGAGAGCUGUUGCAAGAGAUCAUGCGGAGAGGAACGAGCGCUCUGGGAGCUGACGUCCCGAGCGAACGUGAGAUUAAUCGUCUGGCGGCACGUAAUGAAGAGGAGUUCUGGCUGUUUGAGAAGAUGGAUGAAGAGAGGCGGCAGAGGGAAAGAUACAGAUCGAGGCUAAUGGAGGAAAACGAAGUGCCCGAAUGGGUAUUCCCAAAAAACACCGAAAAUAAAGCAAAAGAAACCCUAAGCCCAGAUGCCCAAAGCAAUCAAAUUAGCGGAAGGAGGCAGCGUAAGGAGGUGGUAUAUGCUGAUUUAUUGAGUGAUAUCCAGUGGAUGAAGGCUGUGGAGGAAGGGGAGGACUUGUCGAAGCUGGCUGCUAAGGUGAAGAGGAAAGAGCACCCUUCCGACGCGCAUGAAUCUGUCGCUAGCGAGGAGAACAGUGAAAACAUAUCGAGUAAAACUUUGAAAAAGUUACAAGGUGGAGUCGCCGAGAAAGACGACAGUGAAGGCGAAGUAGUAGGCGAGGUUGUUAAUAGUAGCUGGCAAAACAAUAUCGUGACGUGGAAGACUCACAAGAGAAAGCGCUCAAGCCACGGCUACUCCAGUUCAUCGUCGGACGUAAAAGGACGGCAGGGUCUAUAAAGAUAGCCCGAUCUCGCAUUGAAUUUUUUAAGUUAAAGAAAGUCUACUGAAAACUCCUUUUUCUGUAUUGUUUGUUCAUUAUUUUUUCGCUCUGCUCUUACCUGCUUCCUUCUGGAAAGACCAUGUUGUAUUCCUCUUAAAGUGAUAGCUUAUGAGAUGUAAAACCAAUAAUUCUUAGAAAUAUUAGGAAGGUAGGAAAUUAUUAGCAGUUUCACAGCUGGGGUUCAUGCAAGAAGAUUAUGUAGCCUUUAUUUAAUUUUCAGUGUCAUAAAAUUAACAGCUUUAGCUGCUGAUGGAUUGCUUAAUGCUUUUGAUUAUUGCAUAUUUAGUGAUUAAGUUAGAAGAGAGUGAUGAUGGAAGAGGAGCAAAGGGUGCCUGUGAGAAAAGGUUUUGAGUAGUUUAUUUUGCAAUAGACAAAUCCAAAAUUCAAAAUUGAAUUGGGUUAUAAAUAGAUUUGGUCAUUCUCAUUUUCAGAGUGGAAUGAAAAUUGCAAUCUAAUUUUUAUAAAAUAAACCAUAAUUAUCAGAAUCAAUAAAUCUUAUUCUGAUUUCGAAGUUCAAAACAGGUGAACCAAACAAGUCCUACCUGUUUGGAGAGUGAAAUAUGUUUCUGGCGUUACUGAAAAUGAUUCUUGAGCUUAAUGUGGAGUUAAACUAGCUCUCUUAGUUUCAAUUUGUUUCAAUGUAAAAUGUGCUAGGAACAUUUGUGGCGCGAAAGUGAUAACUUGUUAUUAGUUUUAUCAACUUUUUUUGUCCAAGAAAAUGACAUAGCAUUCGCCCUUCAUGCUUUAUUUCAAGCUAAUCACCAAUAACCAAAAUAGAAAAGUCUAUCCGCCGAAUCAUUUAUUACAUCUAAUUUGAGUUUGAAAUGUAAAAAAUUUGGGAGUGGUUCCUAUCAAGGACUAGAAUCAGUCGUUUGCAUACUUGCACCAUGGAAUGAGAAGUAUUUUAGUUUUUUUUAUUUUUUUCAAAUUUACAUUUCUAUUAUUAUUUUAUUCAUGAAGUAUUUUUUAAAAAAGUUCAUAGACAUAUUAUUAAAAAUCUUUAUGGUAACAAUUAUAUCACAUAGAAUAUAUUCCAAAUAAAUUUCAUCGUGGCAUGUAAGAUACUAUUUAUAAUGUUUUAUAAAUUUUUUUGUUGUUGAAAUGUGAAACUUUUUGAUUGAACGGUAUAACUUCAAUUUUAGUGGGCGGUGUAUGAAAUGUGGGAAGAUGCCCGGUGCAUCGACCAAUUCGUUCUCCGAGUACAGCUGAACCAAUAAUCUCGCUCCACGUUGGCGAUCCGCUACAGCCCAUUCCGACCAAUCAGAGCGAAGCACCCUUUCAAACUCCUCCCCUCAUCACCUCCCUAUAAAUACUUCCGAUCAUCUCGUUCCCAAAAACAAAGCCUCUACCCCGCUCUCUCUCUCGUGUUAGGGUUUCCAAUCCAUUACCCCCUCCACCUCUCCUCUUCCUCUCUAGGGUUGGGGUAUCGAUCCACUCCCUUCUCCUCCUCCACUCUAGGGUUAGGGUUUCGAUCCAAACUACGACCCCGACGACGAUGAGCUCCUCGGGAUCGACCAAGGGCGGGCGCGGCAAGGCCAAGGCGACGAAAUCGGUCUCACGGUCGCAGAAGGCAGGUCUCCAGUUCCCCGUCGGCCGCAUCGCCCGCUUCCUCAAGGCCGGGAAGUACGCCGACCGCGUCGGCGCCGGCGCUCCCGUAUACCUCUCUGCAGUCCUCGAGUACCUCGCCGCCGAGGUCGGUGAUCGAUUCUUGCCUUGCCCUAGAAAUCACUGUAGAUGCAUCUUAUGUGCUGUGAAAGGAUCCGCAUUUCUAAAAUUCGGGAAAAAAAGGGAUAAUUUUUGGGACAAUUAGGGUGUCAGAUCUUGGAUAGUUCUUUAGCUGAAUCCUUUGGAGGAUUCGAAAUCAGUAUUUGGAUUUUUAUCUGCUUUCUUUUGAAUCAAUCAAUUGUUUAGGAAUAUCUGAUGCUUAGGUAAUAGGUUUUUCAUAUUGUUUGGAUAUGUGAGAGGCAGGCAACAAAUUUCUUGUCUUGUUCGUAGUGUUAGCUUUUAUGUUCUUGCUGUGUUCUUGCUUUGGUUCAAUCUGAUUUGAUGUGGAUUUCAUUUCAGGUUCUUGAGUUAGCUGGCAAUGCUGCAAGGGAUAACAAGAAGAAUAGGAUUGUGCCACGGCAUAUACAGCUUGCUGUGAGGAAUGAUGAGGAACUGAGUAAGCUUUUGGGGAUGGUGACAAUUGCGAAUGGUGGGGUUUUGCCCAACAUUCAUCAGACUUUGUUGCCCAAGAAGGCGGGGAAGGAUAAGGGGGAACUUGGAUCGGCAUCACAGGAGUUUUAGAUUUGUUUUAGCUAUAAAUAAUUUGAGGUCGGAUGGAAAGGUUUUGUUGUUGGUGUGGUUUCCUUUUUCUGGGUUAUGGUUUGUAAUGUAAGGAGUGGGUUAGGAAUAUAGUGCUUUUUGAUCUUAAUUAACUACAGUUUUUAAUGUCUUGAAAGCUAAAACUACUGGUGUGAAAGGAUGUGCAUCUUAGAUGUGUAUUUUUCAUUUUUAUUGCAUUGUUGGUGUAUAUUUUCCUUAUCUGCUUGCCUUUCUCAUUAAGUGAUUUGACUGAGUUUUUGGAAUCAGUUGGGACAUGGGAAGUUUGGACCUUGAAUUCAAUUUCAUCUUUUAAGAUCAACCUUGUUGUGUUUUAAGUUUUAACCUUUAGUUAGUGGAAAUAUACUUUUAACAUCAAGCCUUCAUUUUUCUUCUCCUAUGCCCUCUUUACAUGUGAUUCAAAUUGAGGGCAAAGUGAGAAAUGUUGGUGUGUCAAUAAUAAACAUCCUAAGGCUGAUAAAUAGCUACAAUGUACUAUAGUUGAAUAGCAUUCAUUAUGUUAUUAAACUUAUUUAUGUGAUAGGCCUAGUAGCGCGGCAACUGUAUUCAUUACAAGCAUCAUAAAAUGUAAUUAAGCUUCUGCCGGUCCUUUUCUGAGUGUGUUUUAUUUUCAGAACUUUGUGGUAGUAGGAUUUUGAUGUACAUCAGUGUGCAGCUGAUCUGUAUGCUAGUUGGCACAUAAGUGUGAUUGCUUGCUGACAUGCCUCAUUCCACUAUGGUCUAUCCUUGAUUGGGAUUUGUGAUCCAAUUGAUUCAUAAGCUAUUUAAUUUUGCUUGUGGUCUUGGAAGAAUUGAAACAUUUCUUGGCUUUGUUUUUUGUUAAGGAGAGACUAUGAGAAUUUAUCAGUGUUCUUGCACCAUAUGUAGUGGCGGGCUUGCAUUAGAUCAGCUUAAGUGGUUGGUGUUGGAAAUUGUUUUUCUGAAACCUUAUGAUCAAAUGCUUGCUAUUAGAAGAUGUUUCUUUUUUUUUUUGUUUUAAAUUAAUGUUAAAGAACCUCAGUAUUGUUUGGUAGCAUCUUUAGAUGCAAACAAUUUUCUUACCCUACUUUUUGCUUAUUUUAGAUCUCUAAUCUAACAACAAUGUUAUGUCCAUUACAGACUGACACUGGAAAAGUAUCUGCCAAGGUGAGAAUUAUCAGUUAAAUGUUCUUCAUGUUCAGUUAUAAUGUUUAAUUUAUCUUAUACCUGUAACGCGCGUUUAAGCAGAUGCUGAAUAGGUUCUCAUGUAUAGCACUGGCUGGUGUAGCAACAUUGUAUCUUUUGUAUUGGUGCUCUGAAGGAGGGCUCGCUGAACGUUAGUAAGGUAAGCUGAAAUUAUCAAACAUUAAACACGCCUUAAAUUGAUUCUUGCAUUUUUGAUAUUUACAUUUGUCUAGUAUUUUAUAGAUGUCCUCAAAAAAGCUUAUCUUAUUACAGAAACACACUAUUAAAAGACUGUUUGUUGAGAAAUGUGUACUCAACUGCUCUCGGCAUUUAAGAUACUCUCCCUUUAAGACAAGUGUGGUUAUUAUUACGAAAAACUGCAGCUUUCAACGAUGUCUACACCAUCUUUUGAUUUGAGAGGCAAAUGUUGAGUAUAAAAGGUUGGUUCUUUUACAAAAUUAAGAUCCUGUAACUUGCUUUGUUUUGAAAUGUGUGUACAGUUGGAUGGGUUGCUGAAGAGCUUAGGGUUUACACAGAAAAAGAGCUGAUUCACAGGUUAGAUGGGCUGGGCUGAACACCAUUCUAUUACUGCGUCAACAUGAAAGCGCUAGAUUGCAGCUAGUGGAGGCAAUGUCUUCAAUUCCGUACAAAAUUUUGAGGAACGGUUUAAUGCACCAUUUGCAUGCGAUGUAUCUCUCAAUGAUGAGGAAUAGCUACUGAUUAUUCGUCGUUUCCAUCAAGUGAGAUUACUAAUUCUUUCUUUUUUUUUACUUUUUUUUUUGGGUGCUUUUGCAAGCCUUUCUUUGUGUCCUUUUUGUGAUAAUUGCAAUCUGUUUAACUCAGGUUAUACGUCCCUUUCUUCUGAGAAGGAAAAAGGAUGAAGUUGAAAAGUAUCUUCCUGGGAAAACACAAGUAAUACUUAAAUGCGACAUGUCUGCUUGGCAAAAAGCAUAUUACCAGCAGGUCACUGACUUGGGGAGGGUCGGACUAGAAUCUGGUAAGUUAGACCUGCUUAACUAUUCUGCCCCAUUUGGAUGACUUUCUCAAAUACUAAAGUUUGGUUUGUACAUUAUGUUGGCAUUUAUUUUGAAUUUGUUUGUAGUCUAAAUAUUCUUUGGCAUGUUUACUUAUCGAAACACGUACUCUUGUAAAUUAUCUAUUUGCACCGUAUGUACUCUUGUAAAUUAUCUAUUUGCACUGUAUCUUCGUGAAAUCUGAAUUUCACACAUAAUUUGUUAUAUAUAGCUCUUUACUUACAAAAAUGCCCCUCUUAAAAAGAUCUUUUGGAUGUGAAUGUAUAAUUCCCCAACUUACGGUUCUUUUGAAAGAAACUGCACUUUGGAGGGUUAUUUAUGAAAAUUCAGAUUCUUCAGGGGUUUGUAAUUUAACUAGAAGGUUUUGCUGCUAUAUAUAUGCAAAAGCCUAAUAUUCGUUUCAUGCAGAGGGCCACAUUCGACUCUUCGCAGGCAUAAAAUCAAAAUCUCUCCUGAAUUUGUCAAUGCAGCUCAGGAAGUGCUGCAAUCAUCCCUACCUAUUCGUAGGAGAAUAUAACAUGUGGCAGAAGGAACAAAUUGUUAGAGCUUCAGGGAAGUUCGAAUCGUUGGAUCGUUUACUUUCAAAGCUUCAAAGAACCAGUCACAGAGUUCUACUUUUCUCCCAAAUGACACAUCUAAUUAAUAUCUUAGAAAUCUACUUGCAACUUUACAAUUUUAAGUACCUUCGAAUUGAUGGGUCGAUGAAGACCAAAGAGCGAGGGGCAUUGCUUAGACAGUUCAAUGCGCCAGAUUCUCCCUAUUUUUAGGUUUCUAUUGAGCACACGACCUGGUGGUCUCGGAGUGAACUUACAGGCUGCAGAUACUGUAAUUAUCUUUGAUAGUGACCGGAACCCUCAAAUGGACCAACAGGUGGAAGAUCAAGCCCAUCGAAUUGGGCAGAAGGAAGUUUGGGUUUUUGUGUUGGUUAGUGUUGGCUCGAUCGAAGAGGAGAUAUUGGAUCGUGCAAAACAGAAGAUGGGUAUUGAUGCAAAGGUCAUCCGGGCAACACUACCUCCACAGGUUGGUGUUCUUAUUAAGGCAGAUUGCGUUGCAUCUACAUGCUUUUCAAUUAUUUAUAUUGUUGAUCAGUUUCAAACUCGGUGUAGAGACACGGAAGUUGGAAAAAGCAAACAAAAUCCAUAUUUGUAGAGUUUGCAAACAAUCUGCCAACACUUCCAAAGGGAACAGAGCAAAUUCUCAAAAUUUUAACCUGGAAUUAUCUUAAGGAAAAGGGGAGAAAUAAAUUAUAUCAAUCAGUGAUCUAAAGUGUUCGUUCUUGUUUCUCUUUGCAGCACAGGUGAGAGCUGUUGCAAGAGAUCAUGCGGAGAGGAACGAGCACUCUGGGAGCUGACAUCCCUGAGCGAACGUGAGAUUAGUCGUCUGACGGCACGUAAUGAAGAGGAGUUCUGUCUAUUUGAGAAGAUGGAUGAAGAGAGGCGGCACAGGGAAAGAUACAGAUCGAGGCUAAUGGAGGAAAACGAAGUGCUCGAAUGGGUAUUCCCCAAAAACACCAGAAGUAAAGCAAAGGGAACCCUAAUCUCGGACACCCAUAACAAUCAAGUUAGCAGAAAGAGGCAGCGUAAGGAGGUGGUAUGUGCUGAUUUAUUGAGUGAUAUCCCGUGGAUGAAGGCUGUGGAUGAAGGGGAGGACUUGUCGAAGCUGACCGCUAGGGUGAAGAGGAAAGAGCGCCCUUCCAACGUGCAUGAAUCUGUCGCUUUCAAGGAGAACAGUGAAAACAUAUCGAGUUAAACUUUGAAAAAGUUACAAGUUGGAGCGGCCAAGAAAGAUGACGGUGAAGGUGUAGUAGGCGAGGUUGUUUAUAGUAGGUGGCAAAACAAUAUUGUCACGCGGAAGACUCGCAAGAGAAAAUGCUCUAGCCACGGCUACUCCAGUUCAUCAUCGGAUGUGAAAGGACGGCAGGGUCUAGAAAGAUAGCCUGAGAUCCGUCGCAUUGAAUUUUAUAAGUUAAAAAGAGACUAUUGAAAACUGUCUUUUUCUGUAUUGUUUGUUCAUUAUUUUUUCUUGUAUUCCUCCUAAAGUGAUAGCUUAUGGGAUUUAAAACUAAUAAUUCUUAGAAAUAUUACGAAGGUAGGCAAUUAUAAGCAGUUUCACAGCUGGGGUUCGUGCAAAAAGAUUAUGUAGCCUUUAUUUAAUUUUCAGUCUCGUAAAAUUUACAGCUUUAGCUGCUGAUGGAUUGCUUAAUGUUUUUGAUGAUUGCAUAUUUAGUGGUACUGUUAAGAAGAUUCUAGGAGCAUAUUUGGUUCAUCAUUUAUGAUUAGAAUAGAAAUAGGAAAUGAAAAUCAAUUGUAUUAGAAUAAAAAAUAAAAUGAGAAAUUACUUAAAAUUAAUUGGCUCAUUACUGAAAUAGAAAUUAGAAUUGAUAUUUAUAAUUUUGAGAGAGAAUUUUGAUUAAGACGGAGAAAAGUGAUGAUGAAAGAGAAGUUCAUCGUGUCUGUGAGAAAAGACUUUUUAAGUAGUUUAUUUUGGAACAGACAGUGAAAUUCAGAAUUGGAUUGGAAUAUAAAUAGAUUUGAUCAUUUUUAUUUAAGGAUGGAAUGAAAGUUAAAAUUCGAUUUUUAUAAAACAAAUGAUGAUUAUCGAAAUUAAUAAAUUUUAUUUAUAUUUCGAAGUUUAAAAUAGGUGAACCAAUUAGGCCGUCAUUGUUUUGGAAGUGAAAACUGUACGUGGAGUUACUGAAAAUGAUUUUUGAGCUUAAUGUGUAAUUAAAUUGGCUCUCUUAGUUUCAGUUUGUUCCAAUCUUAAAUGUCCGAGGGAAAUUUGUAGCGCGAAAGUGAAAAACUUAUUAUUACUUUUAUCAACAUUUUUGUUCUAAGAAGAUGGCAUCGUAUACAGUCCUGCUGUAACAGCUGGAUGAAUCAGCUCCCUCCACGCUGGCGAUCUUCCACAAACCAUUCCGACCAAUCAGAGGGAAGCACCCUUUCAAACUCCUCCCCUCAUCACCUCCCUAUAAAUACUUCCGAUCAUCUCGUUCCCACAAACAAAGCCUCUCUCUCUCUCUCUCUCCCUCUCUCUCUCUCUCUACCUCUCCCUCUCUCGAGUCUCGUGUUAGGGUUUCCAUCCAUUCCCCUUGAUCUCCUCCGCACUAGGGUAAGGGUUUCGACUUUCGAGAGAAUCACCUGUCCUCUUUCUCUUUAGGGUUAGGGUUUCGAUCCAUUCCGUUCUCCUUCUCCACUCUAGGGUUAGGGUUUCGAUCCAAACUGCGACACCGACGACGAUGAGCUCCUCGGGAUCGACCAAGGGAGGGCGCGGCAAGGCUAAGGCGACGAAAUCGGUCUCCCGGUCGCAGAAGGCCGGUCUCCAGUUCCCCGUCGGCCGCAUCGCCCGCUUCCUCAAGGCCGGGAAGUACGCCGACCGCGUCGGCGCCGGCGCUCCCGUAUACCUCUCUGCAGUCCUCGAGUACCUCGCCGCCGAGGUCGGUGAUCGAUUCUUGCCUUGCCCUAGAUAUCACUGUAGAUGCAUCUUAUGUGCUGUGAAAGGAUCCACAUUUCUAAAAUUCGGAAAAAGAAAUUAGGAUAAUUUUUUGGGGACAAUUAGGGUAUCAGAUCUUGGAUAGUUCUUUAGCUGAAUCGUUUAGUGGCUUUGAAAUCAGUAUUUGGUGUAUUAACUGCGUUCUUUUGAAUCAAACAAUUGUUUAGGAAUAUCCGAUGCUUAGGUAAUUGGUUUUUCAUAUAGUUCUUUAGAUGUUUUUGAUAUAUUUGUUUGAUCAGAUUUUGGAUUAAAGCAUUGGUGAUCAUUAAAUUUGUCUGAGUGUGAUGUAUGAUUUGUUUGCAUAUGUGAGAGGCAGGCAACAAUUUUCUUGUCUUGUUCGUAGUGUUAGCUUUUAUGUUCUUGCUGUGUUCUUGCUUUGGUUCAGUCUGAUUUGAUGUGGAUUUCAUUUCAGGUUCUUGAGUUGGCUGGCAAUGCUGCGAGGGAUAACAAGAAGAAUAGGAUUGUGCCACGGCAUAUACAACUUGCGGUGAGGAAUGAUGAGGAACUGAGUAAGCUUUUGGGAAUGGUGACAAUUGCAAAUGGUGGGGUUUUACCCAACAUUCAUCAGACUUUGUUGCCCAAGAAGGCGGGGAAGGAUAAGGGGGAACUUGGAUCAGCGUCACAGGAGUUUUAGAUUUGUGUUAGCUAUAAAUAAUUUGAGUAAGGAUGGAAAGGUUUUGUUGUUGGUGUGGUUUCUUUUUUCUGGGUUAUGAUUUGUAAUGUAUGGAGUAGGUUAGGAAUAUAGUGCUUUUUGAUCUUAAUUAACUGCAGUUUUUAAUGUCAUAAAAGCUAAAACUACUGGGGUGAAAUGAUGUGCAUCUUUGAUGUGUAUUUGUCUUUUUUAUUGCACUGUUGGUUAUAUUUUCCUUAUCUGCUUGUGUUUCUCAUUAAGUUGACUUGACUGAGUUUUUGGAAUCAGUUGGGACAUGGGAAGUUUGGACCUUGAAUUCAAUUUCUUCUUUUAUGAUUUACUUUGUUGUGUUUUAAGUUUUAACCUUUAGUUAGCAGAAAUGUACUUUUAAUAUUAACCCUUUACUUUUCUUCUCCCAUAUCCUCUUUACAUGUGUGAUUCAAAUGGAGGGCAAAGUGAGAAAUGUCACUUUCAGGGCAACUGUGACCUCUAGUUUAUUUGGUGGAUAUGUGGCUGGACCACAUUGAUUUUUAACUUUUUGAGGGGCAACUGAUAAGAAAGGGCUUCCUUUUUGAACAAGCUGCUGUCUUUGCUCUGUUUUUGGGGAAAGGAGGAUGAAUUUGGUGUUAUGUUGUGGUGGCUAUUUGCCUAAUAUAAAGAUGAGAGUGCCUAUUUGUAGAGCUCUGAAGCCCUCUGAUUCAGCUUUGAGUUCUCUUCGUGAGACAGGUGGAUCAAGGUUGCAGGUGCUGGAGCAAGUUGACGAGGAGCUGAGGAGGGGAGAUGAUAGGGCUGCUCUUUCUCUGGUGAAGGGCCUGCAAGGGAAGCCUGAGGGUCUUAGGUGCUUUGGAGCAGCAAGGCAGGUUGUUGUUUCUCGCCAUGUUCAUGAACAACUGUUCUCUUGAAUAUUCAUUCUCUGGUUUAAUUUAAGAGUAAAAAGGGUAACUCCUUGGUUUCCUUUUAUGUGGCCUUUAAGGUACUGUUGAUGUGUUGGCAUUAUCUUGGGCAUUAUUCUUGGAUGCGUGCUUAAACCAAUAAGUGUUUGUUAUGUGUGAUUGCCAACACAUUAGCUGUAUACAUGUAGCAGGCUAGCAGCACUGUCAUAUAGAAAGUUCAAGAGUAAUGGUUGUUCUGCUUCACAAUUGUUAGAUGGACAUAUUCGUUGGGUUGCUCGUGUUCAUGCUGUGUAAAUGCUGAUUUUAAAACUGAUGAGAGGACUGUACCUUCUUUUCUUUCUAAUUAAAAAGCUUUCUUUUGUGUAUGCCUUCCAAAGUUCAUUUUUGAAACUUUAGCAUGCAGAGCUUGCUGUAAUAUGUUAUGUGGCAUGUCUUGCUUCAGCCGACUAUAGGCAUGCUGUUGUGCCAUGGGAAGGCAAGCCUUGGUUGCACCUAUGAAACAUGAUGUAAUGAUUUGGUUUGUAAUUUGUAUUUUAUUUAUUUUAUUGACAUCUUUUAUAACUUUGCUUAUUGGUAGAUUUUCUAUUGUCUUUUUGUUUUUUUUUCCUGAAAUUUGCUGUUGGUAACUAUGUCGGCAUGGUUAAAUUUGUGUUUUAGGUGCCCCAAAGACUUUACAGCUUAGAUGAGCUGAAGUUGAAUGGAAUCGAUACAUCCUCUUUUCUAUCACCUGUUGAUUUCACUCUGGGUUCAAUCGAGAGAAAUCUUCAGUUUGCCGCACUUCUAGGAGGCUUUUCAGCAUGGGUUGCAUUUGGUUUUUCGCCAGCACAGAUUCUGUACAUUUCAUUAGGUCUACUGUUUCUGUGGUCUGUAGACUUGGUAAGUUAUUGAUUUCUUCAUAUUAAAGCUGCAGUAUUCUUGGUUUUUGCAUAGUAAAGAAAAUGGCAUUUGGUUUUAGUACUUUGCUAUGUUUGUGUUUUUCAUAAUCAUUUUGGUGCUGUUUUCUUUUCUACGCAUUUCUAAUUUCUUGUUUAGUAAAUUCAGUAGCUCUCAACUGGUUUUUUUUAUUUUUAUUUGUUAAGCUGUCAUAUGAUUAUACAUUUUUUAGGUCUCUUUUAAUGGAGGUCUGAGGAAUUUGUUGCUUGAUACCAUUGGUCAUUCAUUCAGUCAAAAGUAUCACAACAGAGUUGUUCAGGUAAGCUUCAAUAUCUAUCAAUAUCGUGAAUUAUUCAUUUUCAAGUGUCUGAAAGUGGCCCGUACUACGAGAUAGUAAAUUUGCAUUUUCCUUUAUAUUUGUGUUGACCCGAGAGACCCUCUUUUUUGAACAUUAAAUAUAUAUAUUCUGCAUAAAAUUAGCUUUUAAUAUUCACUCAAGCAUCUGUGUCUUCUAAACUAGAAUGUGCUCUUAAGGCUUUGAACUCAAGACCUUAAAAUUCUGUUCGUUGUGUGUGUAUCAUUAUUGACUUGAGCUCUCUAAUAGAUCAAUUUAUUAGCUUCCUUAAACAGAUGAAAAUGUACAGCUGCAUUUUAUGGUGUUGAUUGUGUAACGGCAUACUAUACUUUCUCAGGAACUAAUGUCCUGAGGAUGGAUAUUGUGCAGCAUGAAGCUGGUCACUUCUUAAUAGCAUACUUGCUUGGUGUACUCCCAAAGGGAUAUACAUUGACUAGCUGGGAAGCUUUGAUUAAGGAAGGAUCACUUAAUGUGCAAGCAGGGACUACUUUUGUGGAUUUCGAGUUCCUUGAGGAAGUAAGUUCUAUAUAUCGUGUCAAUCUUCUUAUUGUUUGUUUCCUUGCUUACUGUGAUAUGUUGUACUAUUUGUUUCAUGAAUAAUGACGCAUUUAAAGUCUCUUGAUGCCUUGAUUGCCUUUUUUGUUCUCUUUCUCAACUUCUAUGAUAUAUACUUCUUUUGUUAGAAAUUACUUGAUAUAUUUAAAUGUGGGAACCAAAAAUGUUGGCGUGUCAAGUAUAAACAUCCUAAGGCUUGUUAUGUUGAUAAAUAGCUACAAUAUACUAUAGUUGAAUAGCAUUCAUUAUGUUAUUUAACUUGUUUAUACGUGAUAGGCCUAGUAGCACGAUAAUUUUAUUCAUUACAAGCAUUGUAAGAUGUAAUUAAGCUUCUGCUGGUCCUUUUCUGAGUGUGCAGCUAUUUUCAGUAUUUUCUGAUAGUAGGAUUUUGAUAUGCAUCAGUGUGCAGCUGACCUAUGUGCUAGUUGGCACAUAAGUGUAAUUGCUUGCUAACAUGCCUCGUUCGACGGUGGUCUAUCCUUGAUUUUGAUUUGUGAUCCAAUUUGUUCAUAAGCUAUUUAAUUUUGCUCGUGGUCUUGGAAUAAUUGAAACAACUCUUGGCUUCCUUUUUGUGAAGGAGAGGCCUCGUAAUCUCUAUGAGAAUUUAUCAAUGUUCUUGCACCAUAUAUAGUGGUGGGCUUGCAUGAGAUUGGCUUAUGUGCUUACUGUCAGAAAUUGUUCCUGAAACCUUAUGAUCAAAUGCUUGCUAUUAGAAGACAUCUCCUUUUUCUUCUUUUUUUAAAAUAACAUUAAAUAGGGAUGUCAAUGGAUACGGAUACUCGAAAUUUUAUCCGAGCCUGAAUUCGAACAUAACGGAUUUAUCCAAUGCUGAAUGGAUAUGGUUUUGGAUAUGAAUAUCAAAAACAAAAAUUUGAUGGAUAUGAAUUUUGUUAUGGAUUUUGACCGUACCCGAUCCAAACCUGAACCUGAUCCGAACCCGACUCGAAUCUGAAUUUAUUUUACAUUAUAUAUAAUAUGUAUAUAAAAAUUUGAUGUUAUAUUUGAAUUUGUAUUUUAAAAAUUUAGAUUUAAUAUAAUAUAUUUUGAAAUAUUGAAAAGAGAUAAUUGUUUCGGGUUCGAAUUUUUGGGUUCAGGUUUGGAUUUGGGUUUCCGAUUUUUGGCCGUGUUCGGGUUUGGAUAUGGAUUUAUAAAAUUUGUCGUGUUCGAGUUUGGGUUUCAUGUUUGGAGUCGGGUUCGGGUUUGGGUUUUGAAAAUCCACUCCAAAUUUGACCCCUUUACAUCCCUAAUGUUAAAAAACCUUUAUGUUGUUGGGUAGCAUCUUUGGAUGCAAACAAUAAUCUUAUCCUACCUUUUACUUAUUUUAGAUCUCUAAUCUAACAACAGUGUUAUGUCCAUUGCAGAUUGACACCGGAAAAGUAUCUGCGAAGGUGAGAAUUAUCAGUUAAAAUGUUCUUCAUGUACAGUUUUGCAGGUCAUUAUAAAGUUCUUUAUUAUGUUUUAUAUAUCUUAUCCCUGUGAUGCAUGUUUAAGCAGAUGCUGAAUAGGUUCUCAUGCAUAGCACUGGCUGGUGUAGCAACAGAGUAUCUUUUAUAUGGGUACUCUGAAGGAGGGCUUGCCGACAUUGGUAAGGUAAAGCUGAAAUUAUUAAACAUUAAACACACCUUAAAUUGAUUCAUGCAUUUUGGAUAUUUACAUUUGUAUGCUAUUUUAUAGAUGUCCUCAAAAAAGCUUAUCUUAUACAGAAACACCCUGUUAAAUAACCGGUUGAGAAUUUUGUAAUCAACUGCUCUCGGCAUAUGAGAUACUCUCCCUUUAAGACAAGUGUGGUUAUUAUUACCAAACACUGCAGUUUUCAACAAUGUAUACACCAUCUAAGUGUUCUAGUAUAGAAAGUUCUUUUACAAAACUAAGAUCCUGUUACUUGCUCUGUUUUGAAAUGUGUGCACAGUUGGAUGGGUUGCUGAAGAGCUUAGGGUUUACACAAAAAAAAGCUGAUUCACAGGUUAGAUGGGCUGUGCUGAACACCAUUCUAUUACUGCGCCGACAUGAAAGAGCUAGAUUACAGCUAGCGGAGGCAAUGUCUUCAGGAAUGUCUGUUGGUUCUUGCAUUGGAGUAAUAGAAAUGAACAUUGACUCUGCCGAUGUUGAGAUGCAGGUUGGUGGAGAAUAGCCACGACCUAUCUCAACCAAAAAAAAAAAAAAAAAAAAACGAGAUAAUGGUGAGGAGCACACUUGCCCGUUACUUGUAUUGCAUUGGAAUGAUCUUUUUGAUUGUGCUGUAGUGUAGUACAAUCUACUUGCUGUGGGAAACCCUGCCAGAUUAGUUUCAUUUGAUGCUUGUUCAACUAUAACAAGCCCGAGUAAAAGGGAAGAUAUAUUGCGAAAGAAGGAUUGUCAACCCAGCGCUGGAAGUUCGCACACCUGUUUACGGAGAGCAUCUUACUACCAGCAUAUGCUACUACAAGCAUAAAGGCUUUUAGAUUAGAAUUCUGCGGAAAUAAUUCUUUUCUAAACUGUUGCUGGUUUAUACUACACGAAUUGUUCUGACCUCGAGUCUUCUUUCUUGAUAUUGUCCCAGAUUUUACUGCGAUUAUUACGAUGCUUCUAUCAUGCACGCUGGUACGCACUUCAUUAUAAUUUUCUAUUGUUUCUUUGUUUCUUCCUUUUUGGGUAGUUGUGUCUUUCUUGCUCCAAGAUAAAUAUUUUGAUGGGUUUAGUUCAAACCUCCGGUGGUGUCGGGCGUUAUAUUAUUACGAAUAUGAUUGUCUUUACAGUUAUUUUUUUAUUAUAAAGUAUUUAGAGUGAUGGCUUACAGACAAAAUCAUUAAAAUUAGAUUUCAUAUAUAUAUAUUUUUUGACAUUAUAUAUCUUGUCUUGUCAUAAAAACACAUCUAAAAAUGACAAUUUUAAUGAUUGUUAUAGGGUGUUUUUUUAAUUUGCUAUUUAGACUAAAAAUUAAUAACUUUGAUCUUGAAUUGGAAAUUUUGAUCUCUUAUUUUAAAAUGGCCAUUUUAUUUUUAUUGCUUAUUUUAUGGGUUUUAUUGUGAUUUUAAAAAAUUUUCAAAUUCGGAUUGUAGAUGUUUUUAAUAUUAAAUAUUGGCCAAUUUGAAUAAAAAAUUUAUUACUUUUGAGUUUUUGCAAAAAGAGGCCGUUUUUUUGAAUUUUGUAGUUUUUUUGAAUUUUGUAGAUUCAAACCGAAUUUUUAGAAAGAUGAUAAAGCUAUCCUUUUUUCGAAAUGCAUAAAAAUUAUAUGCCAUUAAGUGUAAAAUUUUUUGAAAAUGACAAUUGUUAAACCAUAAUUAUAUGUAUUUUUUUCGUGAGAUGAGAAUUUUCAUUUAAGAUAAAAUAAAAAAAAUAAAAUAUAAUUAAUAAGAUGAAAAAGUAUAAUAUUUUCUCAAAUAGUACAAUAUGUUUUUCCAAAUAGUUUAAUAUAAAUAGUGCAAUAUAUAUAUUGUUAAUACACAUUUUGUAUGAUUUUUAUACUAAAUUACGUACAGUUUAGUAUAUUACAUAAAAAUAAUAUAAUGGAUUAUAAUAUAUUAUAAAAAUUAUAUAAUAUAUAAACAAAUGGUGCAUAUUUUAUAUUGUUUGUGUAUAUAUUUACAUCAUUUGUGUAAAUGUUGUACUAUUAUGAAAGAAUGUUGCAUCAUUUAGAUGUGUGUUGCACUCUUUUUUUAAAAAAAUUAAAUUUUAUUGUAUAUUAAAUAAAAUUUUUUGGAAAUAAAAAUUGCUAAGUUAUAAUUAUAUGUAACUUUUUAAUGAAACGAGAAACCUCAUUGAAGAUAAAAUAAAAAAAUAAAAAAUAAGUAAUAAAAUAAAAAGUGUAACAUUUUCUCAAAUAGUGCAAUAUUUAUAUAAGUAGUGUAAUAUAUGUAUUAUUAAUACACAUUUUGUAUGAUUUUUAUAUUAAAUUACAUACAGUUUAGUAUAUUAUGCAUUGUUAAUAUAUAUUUUGUUUUAUUAUUUUCACGUAAUAUACUAAAUUGUACGUAAUUUAGUAUAAAAAUCAUACAAAAUGUGUGCUAACAAAACAUAUGUUGCACUACUUAUAUAGAUAUUGUACUAUUUGAGAGGAUGUUACACUCUUUCAGUUUACUAAUUAUUUUUUAUUCUUUUUAUUGUAUUUUGAAUGAGGAUUCUCGUUUCACGAGAAAGUUACCUGUAAUUAUGGUUUAACCGUUGUUAUUUUUAAGAAAUUUUAUUUAAUAUAUAAUAAAAUUUAAUUUUUUUUUAAAAAAGUGCAACACAUAUCAAAAUAGUGCAACAUUCUCUUAUAAUAGUGCAAUAUUUACACAAAUAGUAUAAAUAUUUGUAUAAAUAAUAUAAAAUAUGUAUCGUUUGUACAUAUAUUAUAUAAUUUUCUUAUAUAUUGUAAUAUAUAUUAUAUUAUUUUUAUGUAAUAUACUAAACUGUAUGUAAUUUAGUGUAAAAAUUAUGCAAAAUGUGUUUUAAUAAUACAGAUAUUGCACUAUUUAAGAGGAUAUUGCAUUUUUCAUCUUAUUAAUUAUUUUUUAUUCUUUUUAGUUUGUCUUGAAUGAGUUUUCUCUGUUUUACGAGGAAGAUAUAUGUAAUUAUAACUUAGUAAUUGUUAUUUUUCAAAAAAUUUGACAUAUUAUUUAAUAUACAAUAAAAUUUAAUUUUCAAAAACAGAGAGUGCAACACACAUCUAAAUAGUGCAACAUCCUUUUAUAAUAGUGAAACGUUUACACAAAUAAUGUAAAUAUCCGUACAAAGUAUAAUAUAUAUACCGUUUGUAUAUAUAUUAUAUAAUUUUUAUAAUAUGUUGUAAUAUAUUAUAUUAUUUUUACCUAAUAUACUAAAUUACAUAUAAUUUAGUGUAAGAAAUCAUGCAAAAUGUGUAUUAACAAUACAUAUGUUACACUAUUUAUAUAGAUUUGUACUAUUUGGAAGAACAUGUUGUACUAUUUAAAAAAAUGUUGCACUCUUUCAUUUUAUUAAUUAUUAAUUAUGUUUUUAUUUUGUUUUGAAUGAGAUUUCUCGUUUCACAAAAAAUAAACAUGUAAUUAUAAUUUAGUAAUUUUUAUUUUUAAGAAAUUUGAUACUUUAUUUAAUACGCAAUGAAAUUUAAUUUUUUUUAAAAAAAGAGUGCCAACACAUAUUUAAAUAGUGCAACAUCUUUUUAUAAUAGUGUAAUGUUUAUAUAAAUAAUUUAAAUAUCUAGACAAAUAGUGUAAAAUAUAUAUCGUUUGUACAUAUAUUAUAUAACUUUUAUAAUAUGUUGUAAUAUUUUAUAUUAUUUUCGCAUAAUAUAUUAAACUAUACGUAAUUUAGUGCAAAAAUUAUACAAAAUGUGCAUUAACAAUGCAUAUGUUGCACUACUUAUACAAAUAUUGUACUAUUUGGAAGAACGUGUUGCACUAUUUGAGAGAAUAUUGUACUCUUUUAUUUUAUUAUAUUUUAUUCUUUUUAUCUUGUUUGGUGUGAAGCUUCUUGUUUUAUGAAAAAUGUACAUAUAAUUAUGACUUAGGUUGUCAUUUCUAAAAAAUUUUACACUUGAUAGUUUAGCAGUUGUAUUUUUUUAGACAUUUAAAAAAUAUAAUUUUUAUGCAUUUUGAAAGAGGGGUAGUUUGGUUAUCCUUUUAAAAAUUUAGUCCGAAUCUGCAAAAUCUAAAAAGAUAGUCUACUUUUGCAAAAGCUCAAAAUAAUAAAUUUUUUAUGCAAAUUGGCCUUAAAUAUUUUAGAAGUUUCUCCUUUUUCUUUCUUGUAGCAACAGGAUCCAAUAAUCAUGUAUGUUCUAAUUAACUUUUUCCCUUUCUUUUUCCAGCAACUAUAUAUAUGUUAAUCGUCAUUAUCUAUCUUGUAUGCUUACAUUAUCCUAUUUGUUAUACCUACUAGUAAUGUUAAAAAGUGAAAAAAAAUUAUUUACAUCUAAUCUAAUCUUGUAAAUUCCUUUUUUUAAUUAACAAUAAAUAAUUACAAUGUAAGUUAAGUUUUUAUGUAUUAUUAAAUCAUUUGUANGCUUGGUACUAUUGAUAGUAUAAUAGCAUAAUUCUAUAUAGAGUCCGGCUACUAUACUAUUGCGCUGAAUAUGAGCGAGAUGACUCGAGCUUAUAUUUUACUGUUUACAAACGAGCGAUUGGAUUUCGAACUUAUUUUGUGUUGAUUUGAUUUCGAACUCAUUUUGUGUUGAAUAUAAGGUGGCUCGCAAACAUACGCAGCUAAAAAGUUUAGUGUUUCAACUGCUGCUUAAAUUGAUAGCAGCACUUUUUAAAGGUAAGAAUUAUCAUGCAUGUCUUAACAAAUAUCUGGAGUCAUUAAAAUUUUUUUAUACUCUAUGGUGUAUACUCUAUUUUUCUUCUCAGUAACUAUGUGAAAACUUUUAGUUAAUAUUGUAUUUACUCUUUUAGUUAAUAUUUUAUUUACUUGUUAUCAAAUUUUGUAAAUCUACAUUUUUCAAACUAAUAAUAAAUAGCCACCGUCAAAUUUUAAGGCCAAUUUACAUUAAAAAAUUGACAAAUUUUGAGCUUUUAUAAAAGUUGGUUGUCUUUUUCUAUUUUGCAAAUUCGAUUCAAAAUUUUAGCAAAUUGAUUAAAAUAUCCUUAUCAUUUUUUCCCUCUUCUCUUUUUUUUCUUCUCUUUUUUUUCGCUCGUUCAUUUUUUUUCUCUCGCCGAAAAAAGCGCAAAGGAGGCAGAGGCGCCUCGCCUCUUACCCUCGUGCCCUCGCUCUCGCACCCUUCACCCUUCUCCCCUUCGACCUCGUUAAGGCCGUGCCACGACUCUUUUUUUUUAUGACACCUCUCUUGAUCUCUCGCAUUUCCCUGCCUUUCUCGUCCUCUCUCUCCCUCCUCUGCCGCCCUCGACGACGAUACAUCUUCGCCGACGUCGAUGCCACGGAGGUCGCUGCAGCGACGCAGCCUCGAAGCCGGGGGGCUUUAGCGACGGCGCCAUGGCCGUUGGCAGAGAUGGGUGAUCAAAAAAAAAUUAUAGAAGAAGAAAGAAUAAAAAAAUAAAAAUAAAAAAAUUAUAAAAAAAGAAAGAUGAAGAUAAAAUUACACCGUUAUAAUAAAAUUGUACCGUUUUAAAAAAAUAUUGCACUAUUAUGGACCCACUAUUUAAGAUAUAAACUGUAUCCUUUAAAACAAAAAUUACACUCGUUAAACGAAAAUUGCACUAUUUGAGAUAUAUUUAUACUGUUUCUUCUCUUAGGGGCUGUUUGGUUGGAUGUAGUUGCAGAAACAGUGUAGUUGGAAAUACAUGCAGUUGCAAAUGCUGCAGUUGUAAUUACACCUAGUCUGUUUGGUUUUACGCAGUUGCAACUGCCGCAGUUACAUUUCUUCUGUUUGGUAAUAUGAAGCUGAUAGUUGUAUUUGUGAAUUUUGUCACAUUUUCAGAUAGAAUGGUGAGAUUACUUUCACUAAACAUAAAAUAAUUGUAUAAAUUUAUUAAUCAUUUAAAUUUACUAUUUAUAAAUAAAUAAGUAGAUAUAUAUAAUAUUCUUCAACUUAUUAAUCGACACAUUUAAAAUUUUUAAUUUAUUUAAUUUUAAUAUGUAAAUCAAACUUUAAAAUUUAAACGAUUCUCUCAUUUUUUUUAUCAAAUUUAAUAAUUAUAAUUAAUUAAAACUUAUUAAAUUAACAUACACGAUCACAUUCUAUAAAAUUUUUUUAAAAAAAUAUAUUCUAUAUUCUUAAAUAAAAUAAAUUUAAAAUUUAAUUUUUGCCAAAGCUUGUAUUGUCAUAAAAAUUUUAACAUUAUUAUGCUAGUUUAUUUACAAAUAUUUUUUAUUUACUAUAUAGCAUAUAUUUAUUAUUUAUAGGCUAUUUAUAUUAUUUAAUUAUUGUUUAAUCUUCUUAAAGUGAUCCUAUUCCCUCACUAAACAUUAACGUUGCAGUUGAUACUACCAUACCAACUUUGAUGUAUUCCAACGCAGCUAUUUAAACCUUCUUGUCGAAUUGAAACCAUAGUUAGUUAAUUCGGAUCGGCAAAAAUUCGUACGGAUAUAAUUCGGAAUAUAAAUUCCGUACCCUAUUUUUAAAAUCGUGAAAAAAUCGCUUAAAACGGAUUCGCCAAAUAUAUCGGAAUACUGAUUUAUACGGAUAUUAUACGUUACCCAAUUAAAGAAUUGGGAUCAAAAAAUUCCGUGAUCUAUUAAAUUAAUUUUUUUCCAUCAAAUUAUCAAUUGCAUAAAUAUCUUCAAUUUUUAAGAAUAAUAAAGAAUAAAAAGCACAAAAUAAUAAAAAAUAAUAAUAAACAGAGAAUGAACACAUUCAUUAAAUGAUAGUAUAAUAAAGGAGAUUCUGGUACCACUAAGUUAAUCUAAGAAUUAUUUAUUCUCUAUGUUUGGUUGCUUUGUGCAUAACAAACAUAAUGGACACAUUCAAUUUAAGUCAGCCAGGAGCCAUUUGUGUAUAAAAAACGUAUUCAUCAAAUGGACUAAAAAGCUUCCAACUUUGGCUUUGUAAAAAAAACACCCGAUUACUGAUCUAUCUUGUUGAUAGCUGAAGCGGAAGCGGAAGAGGCGACGAGUAGGUUUCGACUUGUUGAAUAGUGAAGUAACCCGAUCUUCGAUCUUCAACUUUCUGAAGACGAGCUUCCAUGCCGUUGCGGCGAGCUGCCGGGAAGGGUAAAGAGGGGAGGGAAGGACCGCCGGACAGCCAUAGGGUCGCCGUGGCAGGGGCUUCGACGGUUUUUGUGAAAAGUUGAGCGCCGCAAACCGCCGCAGGGUUGAGAAAGUUAGGCAAACCCUUUUUUUUAAUAAGAGUGUGGUGGCCGUGAGAAUGGUGUGUGGACUCGUUGCGUGAAGGAGGCGUUCGAGAAAGGUUUUUUUUUUUUUUUUUUUAUUUUUUUUUUGGCACGACAUGCCGAUUCAGAAAAUGCACUUGUUUUUUUUUUCCCGUUUGGGCCACCGCGAGCCCCGACGUGGCUCGCAGCAACGGGCCGACAUUUUUGGCCUAAUUAUUCGCCGAAUACCCGUUAAUUCGGCAAUAAAUUCUUUUUGCCCAAAAACAACGCGAAUUAUUCCGAAUUUUGGAAAAAUGCUAACGGCAAUUUACAACCAGCGCAAUAAGAUUGAUAUGCGUAAAAUUUCGAAUUUCAAACCAAUGGCGCAGAAAUAAUUCGCCACAAAUUUAACUAACAUCGAUUGAAACUGUCAACUAAUAAUACCCUCACUACACCUAAAGCUCAAUACAAGGAAAUUAUUGUAUGGCUGAAGUCAUGCAUUGUGAGCUAAAGACUGCAAAAGAAAAACUAGCAGUUUAGUCCAGAUCGUCAAAAUUGUGCAUACCAAACAGCACCUUAUUUGUAUUUUUGAGAUGUAAAGUCCAGCAUCCAUUAAAAUAAAGUAUAAUCUUUAAACGAAAAAUUAAAUUAUUUGAAAGAUAUUGAUACUAAUUUUUAAAUUACACUCUUAAGGAUAUAAAACCGUACAGCGCGAUCCUUAAAAAAAGAAAAAAUAUACCUUUUUUAAACGAAGACAUUGUUUUAAAAGAAUUAUUUAUAUGUGCUUCCUUCUCUUGUUGCACUAUUUGAAAUAUAAAUUACCACACCUUUAAAAAAAUAUUUAAUCUAUUUGAAGAGGAUAAUGUGUAACACCUAAGUUCUCAUUCGAUCGUUUGGCUUGGCAUCUGAAUUUUUUGCGAUUUGGUCUUUGUGAACAUUUUGACACGUGCUGUGAUUGAACCAAUAAAAUAAUCAUGAGCACCAAGUAUUUAACUAGUUUUUUAGGUUUUCGACUUAAAAAUGGUAUAAUUAGAUGAAAAUGAUGCAAAAGGUGUAAAUCAACGAUGGUAAGAACAAACUCUAUAACAUCGAGCCUUGUGAGCUGAUCUGUGCCAAAUGAUCAAAUCCCAGUAAAUGGUGCUAUCCUACUGCCCACUCGAUUAGCAACGGGAGUCGAUAGCCACCAAGGGGCUCCGGUGCUAUCGAUUUUAAAGCUUCGCGUUAGAUUUAAAUGCCGGUGUUAGUAUUAUUUUUAACCUGUGAGAGGAUCCAUAAACUUAACAUAUCAACCAAUUAGGCCAUUUACCACCUCUUUAAAAUUGGUUGAAGAAAAAGUUGACGCUCACACUAAUUCCAGGGGCCGUUGCUAAGUUAUAGUGUCAGUGCGCCAGGCUGACGUGGUCUAUGUCGAUUAGUCGGUUUUGGUUUUGGUACUUGACUAAUGAUACGGCCCCACAUCAUCCACGCUGCAUAUUUUCUCAUCCAAAGCUAAAAGACCAACUAGCAGCACGAUAGCUUUUGUGCAAACUGAAUAGUAUUCUGCACACCUAAUUCUAUAUACAAUAUAUAUAAUAUAUAUAUAUAUAUAUAUACGAGAGAGAAGAGAAGAGAGAGACGAAGAGAGAGAGAAUCCGGUUAUAAUACUAUCGAUAGCACUAAGGAUUUUGUGCUAUUGAGUUUUCUACCAUUAAAUUUAACCUUUGAUUAUUUUUACCCGUUAGAUUAUACUAUUCAACCAACCACCCACUCAACCUUAGGACGUCCAUAUCAUCCUAACCGCAUAUUUCUCAAUUCAAGAACUAAAAAACUAAUAGCAUCAAUAGCUUGGUAUAUACACACACAUGCCUAAAAAAAAAUACGUAUCCAUGUUAUGGCACUCUGCACAAGAGCUUUUUGAAUGUUAAAAAAGAGCUUUGUCAAGUCAUGGCACAUUUUAAAAAUUUUAAUUUAAUAAUAUCAUUCCCAAACUCAUUCUAUAAUGAAGUCUCAUGUAGCUAGUGCUAAAGAUAUACACGAAAUAGUUAAAGAUAUAUUAGACAAAAAUAAAAGAUAAAUUUACCUCCCAAAUCACCUUUUAAAUAGAAUUUUCUUACAAAAACAUUGAAAAUAAUCUCACCAAUAUUUUUGAAAGAUAUGUUUCAAUUCCAUACAACCAAACAAAUUAUUUCUAGUUAUAAGGCUUUUCACUAUAUUCAGAAAACACGUAAAUAUAACUCUUGCAUUUUUCCAACAAAAUAGCCCUUAACUACAUCAAUAUGAGAGAGGUAUAUAUAUAUGCAAAGAAUUCAAAAAUUUCUAGUUUCAUGGCCCACAUUUUUUUCAAUGCUGGGCUACUAAUUUCUGGACCCUGGCCCAGCAAGGCCCUGCCCGAGCAACUCGGAGCUGAACAGUUCCAUGGGCCAACUUAAUGUUUUUAAAUAUUAUGAUUCUUCGAAAUUUUUUAAAUGCUUCAUGACUCCCGUGUCUUUAAAUACUAAUUUUAUAAAACGAUAAACUUCAAAAACUAAGCAUAUGGUUCCGCACUUUCUCACUUAGUAUUUUAUGGUUUAAAGUAUAUUAAGUUAAUAUUCUAUAAUUUCAUUUUCAUCUUUUCGUUAGCUUUUUCGUUAAUAUUUCGUUAAAUUAUAUACAAAAAACUUCAGAUAAUUCAUCUAAAUUUAUCGAAUAUUUAUUUUAGUACCCUUUAAUUUUAACUUUGUCACUUAUUUAACGAAAAGAAUUAAUAAAAUUAACAAUAAGAAAAUACAAAUAAAAUUUCAGAACAUUAAAUUAAUAUACUUUAAACCAUAGGGUACAAAAAUGAAAAAGUAUGAAACUACUGGAGCGGUAUUUAAACUUUUUCCUUUAUAAAAUGUAUAAAAUUUUUCAUUCCAUAAAUAAAAUUUUGAGAAGUGAAAACUUCAAAAGAAAGUUAUUCUACUCGGAAUAACUCAAAAUAUAUUUGAAAGAAGGAAAAAAAUCGAAACCUGUGCAUAGAGGGAGAGCAUUGUGAGAGUUUAGUUAUUAGUUCGUAAGGAUAGGCUUUUAGAAACAUGUAAGCUUUAAUUUCUUUCGAUGGAAAGAUAAAAGAGAUAAAAUAAAAAAAAAAAGAGAAAAAAAAAAUACUCCUAUGAUCUCUUCAUUUUUUUUAUUUUAAUCCAAAGAAAAUUUAGAUAUUUUCUCUCUGAGCUUUUGUUUUUUUCCCCUUUUUUCUCUUCAUCCAAAGGAGUGCUAAAGCAUGUCAAAAUAUUAUACUACGCUAGUUCUACAAUUUCACCACCACAAGAGAGAGAGAGAGAGAGAGAGAGAGAGAGAGAGAGAGAGAGAGUUACCAGGCAAGGAAGAGAGGAAGAAACCCUAGAAUUCCUGCAGGGCCAGAUCCCACCUCGCCCCUUCCCUAGCCGCCGCCAUGGCCGAGGAGGUGCUUCUUGGCGAGGAGGACAUGGUGGAUAUUGGGGAAGAGGACGUGGUGGAUGUUGGGGGAGGAGGAGGACGCCGCUGGAGAAGGCGAUGGCACCGCACCUGAGAUCAUCACCAAAACCCUAAUUAAUAAAUUGGAAACCCUAAUUAAAGCUAGAAGCCGUAAAAAUGAAAUCCCAUAGAAGGCCUAGAAACCUUAAUUCUCGCAGGAGAGAGAGGUUCUCUGGAAAUCGCGGAAACCCUAAUGGAAACCCUUGAAAACACUAGGAUAGGGGAGAGGGGCGGAGAGAGAGAGGGGGGUAGGGAAGGAUACCGACCUCGGCGGGAAGGACCUCUAGAAACCCAAGGAACCCUUAAUGAAACACUAAUUCUUGGAACGCUAUAAACCUUAGAAACCCCAAAUUUUUGGUACCCUAAAAAUAUUAGAAACCCUAACUCUCGGAGGAAGAAGGGGGAGGAGCGAGCCCUAACCUCGGCGGCGAGGUACGCGAGGAGCUGAGGCAAUCUGCGUCGCCUCCCGAGCUCAGCGUGCGAACGAAGCUCGAGGAAGAAGACGAAGGAGCGCUGAGAGUUUGGGGGAGAAAGGGAGAGGAGCUUUUAGAGAGAGAGAGA